This 484-nucleotide ribosomal RNA is filed under the name uncultured bacterium. RNAcentral's name for it is "partial 16S ribosomal RNA". It matches the Rfam family "Bacterial small subunit ribosomal RNA", at positions 29 to 507 of the family's 1533-position model. The record is from RNAcentral.
AUUGAACGCUGGCGGCAUGCUUUACACAUGCAAGUCGAACGGCAGCGCGGGCUUCGGCCUGGCGGCGAGUGGCGAACGGGUGAGUAAUACAUCGGAACGUGCCCAGUAGUGGGGGAUAGCUCGGCGAAAGCCGGAUUAAUAACGCAUACGACCUGAGGGUGAAAGCGGGGGAUCUUCGGACCUCGCGCUAUUGGAGCGGCCGAUGGCAGAUUAGCUAGUUGGUGGGGUAAAGGCCUACCAAGGCGACGAUCUGUAGCUGGUCUGAGAGGACGACCAGCCACACUGGGACUGAGACACGGCCCAGACUCCUACGGGAGGCAGCAGUGGGGAAUUUUGGACAAAGGGCGAAAGCCUGAUCCAGCAAUGCCGCGUGUGUGAUGAAGGCCUUCGGGUUGUAAAGCACUUUUGGCGGGAACGAAAAGGACUGUGCCAAUACCACGGUUCGAUGACGGUACCCGCAGAAUAAGCACCGGCUAACUACGUG